RNAcentral lists this non-coding RNA (78 nucleotides) under Mesotoga prima. RNAcentral's name for it is "Fluoride sequence". It matches the Rfam family "Fluoride riboswitch aptamer (crcB RNA motif)". The record is from RNAcentral. Lineage: Bacteria; Thermotogati; Thermotogota; Thermotogae; Kosmotogales; Kosmotogaceae.
AAUUCUCUAGGCAAUGAAGCUUGCCUUGGAGAACAGUCUUCCGGAACCGCUUUUUUGGCUGAUAGUUUCUGCGAUUAU